This 951-nucleotide ribosomal RNA is filed under the name Campylobacter jejuni. RNAcentral describes it as "partial 23S ribosomal RNA". It matches the Rfam family "Bacterial large subunit ribosomal RNA", at positions 1 to 966 of the family's 2925-position model. The record is from RNAcentral. Lineage: Bacteria; Pseudomonadati; Campylobacterota; Epsilonproteobacteria; Campylobacterales; Campylobacteraceae.
AAAAAAGGUAAGCUACUAAGAGCGAAUGGUGGAUGCCUUGACUGGUAAAGGCGAUGAAGGACGUACUAGACUGCGAUAAGCUACGGGGAGCUGUCAAGAAGCUUUGAUCCGUAGAUUUCCGAAUGGGGCAACCCAAUGUAUAGAGAUAUACAUUACCUAUAUAGGAGCGAACGAGGGGAAUUGAAACAUCUUAGUACCCUCAGGAAAAGAAAUCAAUAGAGAUUGCGUCAGUAGCGGCGAGCGAAAGCGCAAGAGGGCAAACCCAGUGCUUGCACUGGGGGUUGUAGGACUGCAAUGUGCAAGAGGUAAGUUUAGCAGAACAUUCUGGAAAGUAUAACCAUAGAGGGUGAUAGUCCCGUAUGCGAAAAACAAACCUUAGCUAGCAGUAUCCUGAGUAGGGCGGGACACGAGGAAUCCUGUCUGAAUCCGGGUCGACCACGAUCCAACCCUAAAUACUAAUACCAGAUCGAUAGUGCACAAGUACCGUGAGGGAAAGGUGAAAAGAACUGAGGUGAUCAGAGUGAAAUAGAACCUGAAACCAUUUGCUUACAAUCAUUCAGAGCCCUAUGUAGCAAUACAGGGUGAUGGACUGCCUUUUGCAUAAUGAGCCUGCGAGUUGUGGUGUCUGGCAAGGUUAAGCAAACGCGAAGCCGUAGCGAAAGCGAGUCUGAAUAGGGCGCUUAGUCAGAUGCUGCAGACCCGAAACGAAGUGAUCUAUCCAUGAGCAAGUUGAAGCUAGUGUAAGAACUAGUGGAGGACUGAACCCAUAGGCGUUGAAAAGCCCCGGGAUGACUUGUGGAUAGGGGUGAAAGGCCAAUCAAACUUCGUGAUAGCUGGUUCUCUCCGAAAUAUAUUUAGGUAUAGCGUUGUGUCGUAAUAUAAGGGGGUAGAGCACUGAAUGGGCUAGGGCAUACACCAAUGUACCAAACCCUAUCAAACUCCGAAUACCUU